Molecule: ribosomal RNA, 301 nt
Filed under: uncultured bacterium
Lineage: Bacteria
Description: partial 16S ribosomal RNA
Rfam family: Bacterial small subunit ribosomal RNA
Source: RNAcentral
CAGCAGCCACGGUAAUACGUAGGGUCCGAGCGUUGUCCGGAAUUAUUGGGCGUAAAGGGCUCGUGGGCGGUUUGUCGCGUCGGGAGUGAAAACCAGCAGCUUAACUGCUGGCCUGCUUUCGAUACGGGCAGACUUGAGGCAUUCAGGGGAGAACGGAAUUCCUGGUGUAGCGGUGAAAUGCGCAGAUAUCAGGAGGAACACCGGUGGCGAAGGCGGUUCUCUGGGAAUGUUCUGACGCUGAGGAGCGAAAGUGUGGGGAGCAAACAGGAUUAGAUACCCCCGUAGUCCCUGUCUCUUAUAA